Molecule: long non-coding RNA, 2726 nt
Organism: Passer domesticus (house sparrow)
Lineage: Eukaryota; Metazoa; Chordata; Aves; Passeriformes; Passeridae
Exons: 4
Source: RefSeq, a predicted model, not a curated record
CAGGGACCCUCAUGGCAGGGAGGAAUGAUGAAUCUGACUCCAUGUUCUCAGAAGGCUAAUUUAUUAUUUUAUUAUACUAAAUUAUAUUAAAGAAUACUAUACUAAAUAGUACAGAAAGGAUACUUUCAGAAUGCUAAAAAGAUAAUAAUGAAAACUCAUUACUCUUUCCAGAGUCCUGACACAGCUCAGCACUGAUUGGCCAUUGAGUCAAAACAACUCACACCAGAAUCCAAUGAGGCAAUCACCUGUGGGUAAACAAUCUCCAAACACAUUCCAUAUGUGAGCACAACAGGAGAAGCAAAUGAGCCUCCUUCUCAAAGAGGAAUCAUCCAGUUUGCCUGGCUCUUCCCUCCAGCUGCUCCCUGAGUUUUCCACUCCUGUGCAUGGUCCUGUCCCUGUUCCUGCUGGUCUCUCCCAUCAUGGUACAAGAACCACUGAGGCAAGAGAGGUAAUCACAUUAACAUGAUUUAGAGAGACAAGAGGCUCAUGAAGGGCACGUGGCAUGCGGAGCUGCAGAAGGAGCAGGGAGUGGGAAGCAUCCUCUCCUGCACUGCACAGAGUUCAGAGACAUUUUUACAUGGAAUUGCAAGAGUAAUCCUCUAAUCCACAAGCUGUCAAAUAAUUGAUCAAAAACGUCUCAUAAUUACUCUCUAACUAUGGGUAGUCCUGUGUAGAGUAGAUUCCCUCAGAGAUGGGAGCUAAGAGGGCUCAUGCUGGCAUUUGCCUUGGAGGUCAAUGUGCUCGCUUUAUGGGAUAAGACUGUGGCUGUGUGGCUGCAGUUCUCUGACCUGCCAUCAGCCUAGGUCACAUAACAUCACUAAACAGAUGCACAAGACUGUUUGAAUAUGGAGUUUUAAAUUGCAGGGGACACAAUAAUACAGAUUUAGUACCUGUGUUUCAUCUUGUAGUUUAGAAGCUUUAACAACAGAUCAUACUUAAGCCUGAAUUCUUAGUCCUAUUACUGUAUUCAAACAAAAAACACAUAUAUAAUUUCUAAUACAGUCUUGAGUUUUCCUCUAUCUCUUCUAACAGGACAUUACACAGGGCUGUUUCAAAGUAAGGCACAUUCAGGGCUGAGAGAGAAGCAAACAGCCUCUUGGAAGAAAGAGCACCAGGAACAAAAAACAUGCAUCCAGCUGAGCACUAGAGAAAUGGAAGAUAUUUGAGGCUGGAAAUAAAACAGUUACAAAAAAUAGACUGCUAUAAGAAAAAAUUAUCUAAAUUACUACCUAAAGCAACUUUGUUUCUUUUGAUCCCGUGGUUGUCUUCCCCUACAAUGACAAAACAGCAGUAAAAAUUCCCAACUCUGAAUAAUUAUACAUGCUGAUGUACUGUCAAUUCAAUCAAAAGGUCCUAAAUGUCCAAGUAGAUGAGCAUGCUGUCCUCAACCCUUGAUAGCAGCUGCCUCUUGCUGCUGCUAACUCCAGCCAGGCUGGAUCCACUUGGGCUGAAUGGGGAGGGAAGAGAGCUGUGGUCUGGAUGUCAGACUGCUGGGCUAUGGCAGCGCAGAACUGGUUUCCUCCAGCUCCCUCUUCAAUUCCUUCCACACCUGAUGGUGUGAGCAGUUUCUUCAGUUUUUGCUCCACAAAAGCCAUUCUGAGGAGCAGUGAUGGACACACUCCUCUUUCUGCCAUUCCAGAGCUACCCUGCUGCAGAAGGCUGGAGCAGACACACUGCAACACAUUUAGAUUAGGAUGCAGAAAAUUAAUUUUGCAAAAUUCAGGGGACCUGGCAUUGUGGGUCAUGUAAAAUUAUAAAUGAAAAUGUGAUGGAUUACAGGCAUGGAUGUGAUGAGGUACAGGCAUUAUGCAAGUGAAUGUACAUUAACAUUAUGUACAUUAAUAUUCACAAACAGCACUUAUCACUCGAUAUACUGACUGUGUCUUCAGUUGUUCACAAAAGCUUAGAGGUGGAUAUAAAAAUCUACCAACUACUGAUUAUCAUAAAAAUAAACAAUAAUUUCUAGAAAUUCUCAAGGCAAACUGAAGAGUGUGUGUGUCUUUCUCAACUAAGACACUUAGAGAGUAGUCGCAACAAAAAUGCAAACUUGUGGGCCCAUUUAAUAUUUGAACUCAGGCUAAGUGUAAAGGAGCAAAUAGAUUUAUAUAUACAAGGUAUAAAAUGUGGAUGAAAUUGAAAGCAAGGGCGCAGAAAAUAUGCCAGAGAAAGAUGAAGAAGAAUUAUUGGGGCAUUACAUUUUAUUCUCCUGUUUCCAUCAAAUUGUGCAAUAAAGGACAGCUUGAAAAAUACAGAGUAAAAACAACAAAUGUGAUAGUAUAUAAAAGGGAAUGUUUAGAGUUUAUCAAGGUAAAAAAGAUAAAAUAGCCUCCUAUCAGCUUUGAAAUAUCCCCUUUCACUUUCAAUAUCAAAAUUCAUUAUUAAAAUCACUGCUCCCCAAAUCCAGGGAUUCAAACUGUUCUGAUAUCCCUAUAUUUGUUUGAGCUGUCACUCUCUCUGCAUUAAUCCAUUUUUAUGGGCUGAAAAAACAUUGAAACUGGUAAGAAAUCUGUUUUCAAGGAGUUUCACAGUGUCAAAACUGACAUGAACAGUGAGGGAUGCUAUAACACAUGGUAACAGUAAGCCUGAGAGCUUGAGGUUGUAGCUGAUGCUUCCUCCCCCUGAACAGGUGACAGAUAAACAGACUACAAAGGAUUUUUAAGGCAAAGUUCAUCAAGUAGCAGUUUUGUACUUGUGGGUCCAUCAACUCCUCCUCCUCCACUACAAAG